Molecule: ribosomal RNA, 441 nt
Filed under: uncultured bacterium
Lineage: Bacteria
Description: partial 16S ribosomal RNA
Rfam family: Bacterial small subunit ribosomal RNA
Source: RNAcentral
CCUACGGGUGGCUGCAGUGGGGAAUAUUGCACAAUGGGGGAAACCCUGAUGCAGCAACGCCGCGUGAAGGAAGACGGUUUUCGGAUCGUAAACUUCUGUUCUUAGUGAAGAAUAAUGACGGUAGCUAAGGAGCAAGCCACGGCUAACUACGUGCCAGCAGCCGCGGUAAUAAGUAGGUGGCAAGCGUUGUCCGGUAUUACGGGGUGGAAGGGGAGCGCAGGCGGGAAGCCAAGUCAGCUGUGAAAACUACGGGCUUAACUUGGAGGCUGCUGUUGAAACUGGUUUUCUUGAGUGAAGGAGAGGUAGGCGGAAUUCCUAGUGUAGCGGUGAAAUGCGUAGAUAUUCGGAGGAACACCGGUGGCGAAGGCGGCCAACUGGGCUUUAACUGACGCUGAGGCUCGAAAGCGUGGGGAGCAAACAGGAUUAGAUACCCGAGUAGUC